GGGAUUAUUCAGUCGGGAGGUCGCGAACGCAGAGUGUGGAAUGACCAGAAUGGUUCUCCGGACGGAGCCGUCCACGCCUUGCGCUUUUCGUGCCACCCGACGCAUUUGUUUCCCGUCCAGAGGACGCCGCAACCGGUUGGAGAACGGCCUUAAGGGCAGACGAUGGCAGGUGGCCGGUGAUUUCUCCCUCGGGAAGAGUCUGCCGGUUGUUAGCCGGUUUCUGUCGCACGGCUCGUGAUCCGACCGUGGUGUCGCGAGACCCCUAGCGGGUCUCUUCGCCUCCUCCUUUCGCGGGAAGCCGGGAAUUGGCGGCACGGUCCCUCCCCCCUGCGGGCGCACUGACUGACUCAGUGGCCCAGCUAUCGGGAGGUCCGGUUGGUAGCCUUUUACCCGUUGGAGUGUCGGCGGUUAGCGGCGAGUAGAUCGGUCACCCACCCGACCCGUCUUGAAACACGGACCAAGGAGUCUAACAUGUGUGCGAGUCAAUGGGUCUCGAAUAAGCCCAGAGGCGCAAUGAAAGCAAAGGCCGGACUUGACUUCGGCUGUGUUGGGAUCCUCCUCUUGUAAAAUGGGGGAGGCGCACCAACGACCCGUCCCAUCCGAUUUAUCGGUGGGGCGGAGUCUGAGCAUACACGUUGGUACCCGAAAGAUGGUGAGCUAUGCCCGGGCAGGACGAAGCCAGAGG
This 685-nucleotide ribosomal RNA is filed under the name Nesticus orghidani. Its description in RNAcentral is "partial large subunit ribosomal RNA". It matches the Rfam family "Eukaryotic large subunit ribosomal RNA", at positions 596 to 858 of the family's 3401-position model. The record is from RNAcentral. Lineage: Eukaryota; Metazoa; Arthropoda; Arachnida; Araneae; Nesticidae.